AUGACCCCAGGUCAGUCGGGACUACCC
RNAcentral lists this ribosomal RNA (27 nucleotides) under Sporobolus africanus. RNAcentral describes it as "partial 28S ribosomal RNA". RNAcentral also lists the same sequence under 1 other name. Lineage: Eukaryota; Viridiplantae; Streptophyta; Magnoliopsida; Poales; Poaceae. The record is from RNAcentral.